Long non-coding RNA from Larimichthys crocea (large yellow croaker), 769 nucleotides. RefSeq lists it as uncharacterized. The record is from RefSeq and is a predicted model, not a curated record. NCBI's taxonomy places the organism in Eukaryota, Metazoa, Chordata, Actinopteri, Sciaenidae. The transcript has 4 exons.
UCGGUUUUAUGUUUGUGGAUUACUAUUAUGAGACGGCGGAAUAUUUUACUGUACAGCCCCAGUGGUUUUGUCGCUUUGACUAAACUCUUAAUACAGUUUCCAGUGCUCUUCAGAAUUCAUCUUUUAUGAAAAAGUCUCUGUAGUAUUACAACUCUCUCAAUCUCACUCGAACUGAAUAGUUUAUGGAUGUUUGUGAUUAUAAUUCUCUAAAUUGUACUCGUCUUAGUGAUUGUUUAGUUAGUAGGCUGAACAGUUGCAUCCUGUGGUACAGUUGACGUUACUUUCUGAAGUUGACGUGAAACACUGGAGGCAGAGCUGCUGUUGUAAAUAAUAAACACAGAGACCCGAAGGAAACCAACGGGAUGGAAAAUGGUAUUCAUCCUGCGAAGACAGAGUGUCGGGCAUCUUACGUUUCCUGUAGCUCCAUAAUGACUCCCAUCCACUUGAGGAGAGAGGUGGGUCGCCUCUGCCUGUCCUGCCGUGAGAUGGUCGCCUGUGGUUUGGCUGCUCGUUGUCUGUGAGUGAGGCAGAUGAAAAGCAGAGAGAGGAAGACAAAGUUUCACCGUUGGAGAAGUGGAUGACCCUCCUCUGUUUAGAGACGGCAGGACCUCCAAACUCUGUCUCCUGGAUGUCUGCUGACGUCUGACAGAUUACACAGGUACUCCAAGUCUUUUCGAUACAACACCGUCAGGUCUUUCUCAUGUCACAGCUGUACCUUAUGUCCAUCCCCACUGGCCCUGCUAUGUGGAGGAAACAACUACAGGAUACA